Molecule: ribosomal RNA, 292 nt
Filed under: uncultured bacterium
Lineage: Bacteria
Description: partial 16S ribosomal RNA
Rfam family: Bacterial small subunit ribosomal RNA
Source: RNAcentral
GUGUCAGCAGCCGCGGUAAUACGGAGGAUCCAAGCGUUAUCCGGAUUUAUUGGGUUUAAAGGGUGCGUAGGUGGCUUUUUAAGUCAGGGGUGAAAGACGGUAGCUUAACUAUCGCAGUGCCUUUGAUACUGAAGAGCUUGAAUGAACUAGAGGUAGGCGGAAUGUGACAAGUAGCGGUGAAAUGCAUAGAUAUGUCACAGAACACCAAUUGCGAAGGCAGCUUACUAUGGUUUUAUUGACACUGAGGCACGAAAGCGUGGGGAUCAAACAGGAUUAGAAACCCUCGUAGUCC